AGAUGUGAGGGCGAUCUAGCUGGGACAUCUGUCACCCCGUUGAUAGCCAGGGUUGAUUCGGCUGAUCUGGCUGACUGGGCAGGUGUCCCCUUCCUCCCUCACCGCUCCAUGUGCGUCCCUCCUGAAGUUGCGCGCUCUCUCGAGGGGGACAGCCUUCCCUGAAUAGACAGACUGGUCUUUAGUCGAGGGCAUAGGAGUAGCUGCGCUCCCCUGCUAGAACCUCCAAACAAGCUCUCGAGGUCCAUUUGUAGGAGAACGUAGGGUAGUCAAGCUUCCUAGACUCCAGACACAUCCUAAUGAGGUGCUGCAUGCGGCCGUCUGUCUAUCUUU
RNAcentral lists this small nuclear RNA (330 nucleotides) under Erinaceus europaeus (western European hedgehog). Its description in RNAcentral is "7SK RNA". It matches the Rfam family "7SK RNA". From Rfam's summary of the family: 7SK was discovered as an abundant small nuclear RNA in the mid-70s but a possible function has only recently been suggested. Two independent studies have found that 7SK RNA binds the CDK9/cyclin T complex (known as elongation factor P-TEFb). P-TEFb activates transcription by phosphorylating the C-terminal domain of RNA polymerase II. The record is from Rfam by way of RNAcentral. Lineage: Eukaryota; Metazoa; Chordata; Mammalia; Eulipotyphla; Erinaceidae.